CACGUAGGGUGCGAGCGUUGUCCGGAUUUAUUGGGCGUAAAGCGCGCGCAGGCGGGUCUGUGCGUCGUGCGUGAAAUCACCCGGCUCAACUGGGUGGGGUCGUGCGAUACGGCGGACCUGGAGCGAGGCAGAGGGUAGCGGAAUUCCUGGUGUAGCGGUGAAAUGCGCAGAUAUCAGGAGGAACGCCGGUGGCGAAAGCGGCGUGCUGGACCUCUUCUGACGCUGAGGCGCGAAAGCCAGGGGAGCGAACGGG
RNAcentral lists this ribosomal RNA (253 nucleotides) under uncultured bacterium. RNAcentral's name for it is "partial 16S ribosomal RNA". It matches the Rfam family "Bacterial small subunit ribosomal RNA", at positions 524 to 776 of the family's 1533-position model. The record is from RNAcentral.